This 71-nucleotide transfer RNA is filed under the name Loxodonta africana (African savanna elephant). It matches the Rfam family "tRNA". From Rfam's summary of the family: Transfer RNA (tRNA) molecules are approximately 80 nucleotides in length. The record is from Rfam by way of RNAcentral. Lineage: Eukaryota; Metazoa; Chordata; Mammalia; Proboscidea; Elephantidae.
GCAGUGGUGGUUCAGUAGUAGAAUUCUCCCCUUCCAUGUGGGAGACCUGGGUUCGAUUCCCAGCCAGUAUA